Molecule: RNA transcript, 1918 nt
Organism: Spinacia oleracea (spinach)
Lineage: Eukaryota; Viridiplantae; Streptophyta; Magnoliopsida; Caryophyllales; Amaranthaceae
Exons: 6
Source: RefSeq, a predicted model, not a curated record
CCCAAACCCUCGUCAUUCAUAGCCUCUGAUUCCAGAGCGCGGGACACACAGACUUUAGAGAGAGAAACUGCGAAACCGAAAGAGGAAAGAGGAAAGAGGGAAAGAGGAAAGAGGAGAGAGAAUGUUAGAGUGAGACUCAAACUCAACUUCAGUGUUCCAUUUUCUGCAAAAUAAUUACCUCAAACCCUAGAAUUCCAUUCUUAGGGUUCCUUCUUUUCUUUCCAUUUUGCUUUCUCCCGAUCUAUUCUCCAGUUUCCCCCCAGAAUUUUGGUUUCGAUUUCCUCCAACUAGGUCAAUUCUGUCGGAAUUCACAUCUAGGGUUUAUUUUUUUUGUUAGUGGAGUUGCUUGUUUGUCAUAUACUGACCAGCAAUUUUGCUCUCAAUUUUGAGUUUUUCAGGAUGCCUGAAAAAAUGAGUAGGAUGUCGGAUAAAGAUAAAAGCAGAAUUGCUGAAAAAAUGUCUGAAUUCAUUUUGCUAAUGGGGUACAACGCUGAUUUCCAAGUUGUAAUCGCAAAGGAACUUAGUCGCCAUAUAUGGAUGAGUUUAGAAAAUCUAGGUAGGAAGCAAUGUAGAGAGCUUUUGUAUCUUUUAUACAUGGCUGAUAGCGCGACCUUGUUAUCCUAUACGGUUUCGCUGGGGAAGUUAAUAUGGGCUAAUCAUUUGAGGGCCAAACGAAGGGCUCUCAAAAGGAAACUUUCAGAGAAGAUAAAACAGCGGGAGCUGGGAAGAGAGAAGAGGAAGAUGAGAGGAAGGGUGAGGUUAGUGGUGAUCAUGAGCAGAGGAGGGAAACAAUGUAAAGCAAACCCGGGAUUUUGGUCGAGGAUAGGGUUUCACAUGAGGCCCAGAUUCGUGUUCAAGAACACAAAGCAUAGGGUUGUAAAGCGCAAUGUAGAGGUUGGUAGUCGUGUAUAUAGGCUUGCUCUUGCUAUGGGGUUUUUGUCGUUCCGAAAUCUCUGUGUCACGUCCGAGUGGGAGUUUUGGGCUGUCUGCCUUGUUCAGCAAGUCUUUGGCUUUUGGAGGAGUAUUUCCAUUGGAGGAGGGCUGAGUGGUUAUUUUAUAAAUGUUGCUCAGGAGUUUGGGUUGGAUGUGGUUUCAUGUGAGGUUUUUGAGCGCCUUCAAAGCUGUUUCCGAUGUUCAUCCACAACUCGCUAUCCAGGAUAUGGAAGAGAAUAUCCAUAGGGUUGGAGAUAUGAGCACGUGAAGGUUUUACGCUGAUGGAAUUGCGAUGGGGCUUCUACCGGAAUGCAUUAGUCAUGUGUGUCUGAUCUGACUGAAGACUGAAGAAUGAAGAGUUUUUGCUUUCCAUUUUUAGGAUGCGGCAUUUUAAUGGCAUAACUAAUGUACUCCCGCUACUCCGUACUUCCUUUCUGUGGGAACUGCAAAAUGGCGUCGUGAUUCAGUUGGCGGUAAUUUUUUGAUGCCUUCUUUUGGUUGUUCAGAGAGCUCAAGUUUCAUACAAGGUAUUGUCAUGUCGCAGGUAACAUCGUGCCAAGCAGACGCGUCAAGUGAGACGACAGGCGACAAGGCUUAGGCGACACAGGACCAGCGACGAAGCACUAGCGACAAGGAAGUAACGACGAUCGACGGGCAAACAAGCGGGGAUAGGUAAAGAUCCAAGCCCGAAGCCCAAGAUAGACUGCGCCGUUAUAUGAGCGAAAGGAGUCCAAGGAUUUACCAAAGAAUACGGAAUUUGUUGGAGACGGGAAAAGAUCAUGGGCAACGGCCAAUAGGAGAUCUCUACCUUCUAGGGAUUCUCCUAACCAAUGAAGCCGUUGCGUUCUGCGUAUAAAAGCAUGGCGGCAGUUGAUAUAUGCGUUUUAUAUAGUGUUUUCACCCCCGUCCCUUAGUACUUUUAUGCGUCAAAUGAGCUCUUAGGAGCUGUUUUUAGUACUAAUCUGUGUAUUUGAGUGUGCCUUGA